UAUACCGUGAAACUGCGAAUGGCUCAUUAAAUCAGUUAUCGUUUAUUUGAUAAUACCUUACUACUUGGAUAACCGUGGUAAUUCUAGAGCUAAUACAUGCUGAAAAUCCCGACUUCGGAAGGGAUGUGUUUAUUAGAUAAAAAACCAAUGCCCUUCGGGGCUUUUUGGUGAUUCAUGAUAACUUUACGRAUCGCAURGCCUUGCGCUGGCGACGGUUCAUUCAAAUUUCUGCCCUAUCAACUUUCGAUGGUARGRUAKUGGCYUACCAUGGUKKCAACGGGUAACGGGGAAUUAGGGUUCGAUUCCGGAGAGGGAGCCUGAGAAACGGCUACCACAUCCAAGGAAGGCAGCAGGCGCGCAAAUUACCCAAUCCCGAUACGGGGAGGUAGUGACAAUAAAUACUGAUACRGGGCUCUUUUGGGUCUYGUAAUUGGAAUGAGAACAAUUUAAAUCCCUUAACGAGGAACAAUUGGAGGGCAAGUCUGGUGCCAGCAGCCGCGGUAAUUCCAGCUCCAAUAGCGUAUAUUAAAGUUGUUGCAGUUAAAAAGCUCGUAGUUGAACCUUGGGUCUGGCUGGCCGGUCCGCCUCACCGCGAGUACUGGUCCGGCUGGACCUUUCCUUCUGGGGAACCUCAUGGCCUUCACUGGCUGUGGGGGGAACCAGGACUUUUACUGUGAAAAAAUUAGAGUGUUCAAAGCAGGCCUUUGCUCGAAUACAUUAGCAUGGAAUAAUAGAAUAGGACGUGUGGUUCUAUUUUGUUGGUUUCUAGGACCGCCGUAAUGAUUAAUAGGGAUAGUCGGGGGCGUCAGUAUUCAGCUGUCAGAGGUGAAAUUCUUGGAUUUGCUGAAGACUAACUACUGCGAAAGCAUUCGCCAAGGAUGUUUUCAUUAAUCAGGGAACGAAAGUUAGGGGAUCGAAGACGAUCAGAUACCGUCGUAGUCUUAACCAUAAACUAUGCCGACUAGGGAUCGGACGGGAUUCUAUAAUGACCCGUUCGGCACCUUACGAGAAAUCAAAGUU
RNAcentral lists this ribosomal RNA (1020 nucleotides) under Penicillium chrysogenum. RNAcentral's name for it is "SSU rRNA". It matches the Rfam family "Eukaryotic small subunit ribosomal RNA", at positions 75 to 1116 of the family's 1831-position model. The record is from RNAcentral. Lineage: Eukaryota; Fungi; Ascomycota; Eurotiomycetes; Eurotiales; Aspergillaceae.